RNAcentral lists this ribosomal RNA (226 nucleotides) under uncultured bacterium. RNAcentral describes it as "partial 16S ribosomal RNA". It matches the Rfam family "Bacterial small subunit ribosomal RNA", at positions 124 to 334 of the family's 1533-position model. The record is from RNAcentral.
CCUAGCCCUUCAGAGGGGGACAACAGUUGGAAACGACUGCUAAUACCGCAUACGAUCCAAUCUCGGCAUCGAGACUGGACGAAAGGUGGCCUCUAUUUAUAAGCUAUCACUGAAGGAGGGGAUUGCGUCUGAUUAGCUAGUUGGAGGGGUAACGGCCCACCAAGGCGAUGAUCAGUAGCCGGUCUGAGAGGAUGAACGGCCACAUUGGGACUGAGACACGGCCCAG